UCGUCAGGUGGGAUAAUCCUUACCUGUUUCUCCUUUUGUAGAACAGAUUUGAAUAUGAUGAUUGGAAUUUGCAUGAUUUGCGAUUAAAUGUUUCUGUGGAAUCAGGACUUCCAACACCCUGAUUGCUCCUAUCUGAU
Molecule: small nucleolar RNA, 137 nt
Organism: Phyllostomus discolor (pale spear-nosed bat)
Lineage: Eukaryota; Metazoa; Chordata; Mammalia; Chiroptera; Phyllostomidae
Product: U8 small nucleolar RNA
Exons: 1
Source: RefSeq, a predicted model, not a curated record